RNAcentral lists this long non-coding RNA (778 nucleotides) under Physcomitrium patens. Its description in RNAcentral is "long non-coding RNA (PPAT_LNC008539)". Lineage: Eukaryota; Viridiplantae; Streptophyta; Bryopsida; Funariales; Funariaceae. The record is from RNAcentral.
UAGGGUUUGGUUAGGAUUUGAUUUAGGGUUUGGAUUAGGGUUUGAUUUAAGGUUUGGCUAAGGUUCGAUUUAGAGUUUGAUUUAGAGUUUAGGAUUUGAAUUAGGAUUUAGGAUUUGGUUAGGAUUUGAUUUAGAGUUUGGAUUAGGAUUUGAUUUAAGGUUUGGUUUAGGGUUUAGGAUUUGGAUUAGGAUUUAGGAUUGGAUUAGAGUUUGGAUUAGGAUUAGGAUUUGGUUUAGGAUUUGAUUUAGGAUUUGAUUUAGGGAUUAGGAUUUGGUUUAGGAUUUGAUUUAGGAUUUGGUUUAGGAUUUAGGGUUUAAAAUAGGGUUUGAUUUAGGAUUUAAUUUAAGGUUUGUUUAGGAUUUGACUUAGGAUUUAGGAUUUAUUAGGGUUUAAUAUUUAAUUAGGUUUAGUCUAAAGUUUGAGUGAAAUUCAAUAAGGUUUUAACUAUAAUUAAAUUAAGGUUGAAUUGACAUAUAUUUGAAUAAUAUUUGUGAUCAUUCUAAUAUUUCUUUAAGAAUUUUAUUGUUUGUUUGAAAUUUCUUUGAGUUGUUUUGAAUUUGAUUACGUUUGUUUACCAUUAUUAUAGUCUAAUUAGAGUAUUGUUAAUAUUCUAUUAGAAUUAGGAUUUUGUUAUCACAAUUUCUAUUCUUCCUUCUACAACCAGGUGCCCGAAGUAUUCUCAAGCAAGACUUCACACGUUACGAUAUAUUUGGUGAAUCCGACGUGAAAUACUUGAGGUGGAAGGAAUUUAUUAUUAUUUUUAUUAUUUAAAUUUUG